UUUACUGUUACUUUCUCAAGUUUCUCUAAACAUUUGCUCAGAGUAUUUUCACUGACCAAAACAAAUUCCGAUUAAUUUUAUACUCAGUAGCUGAGUUUUUUGGAAAGCUGCAUACAAUCAAAGGAGUAAAAUCCCAGUGAAAGUAAAUCAGUUUAACUUUACUUAUUUACUGCCAAAUGAAUAACAAUCUCGUAUGUCCAUCUUUUUUUAAAGGGAGAACCAGGUUUCAUUGGUCCUCAAGGAGAACCGGGCUUACCAGGGUUACCAGGAACAAAGGGUGAACGUGGGGAGGCAGGUCCUCCUGGAAGAGGUGAGCGAGGGGAGCCUGGAGCCCCUGGACCAAAGGUCAGUUAUUCUUGCAUUGGAAGAUAGCUUUCUUUGGUUUGGAAAUGUGUCCUACUUACUUUGGAACAUGAAACUAAAAUACAGUUCCUCAACAGGUAUUAAAACAGCAAAAAUCACAAUUUAUUGAAAUGCACACUGUUUGGUUCUUUUCAAAAGGAAUCUUACAAUUUAACCUUUCCAGUUUGUUCUGUCCAGUAAACAAAUUUAAUAACACUUCCAAAUGUAAGGGGGGGGAAGGUCAGUCAUAUUAACAUGUUAUCACUCAGUGUGUAUUAAAACUUAGAAAAAUGUUGAUACACGCUGUGUUAGUUUCUGUGCUGACUUGAAGGUGUGGAACACCCUGAAAAUAUCAGAGCUAAGGAUUUAUUUCACUGUUCAGUCUUUAUUCCUCCAAACUUCCUGCAAACUAAUAUGGUAACACUUUAUUCUAAUAACCUAAUAACCAUCCUAGAGACACAGGAAAUGGUUUAGUCUUUGAUGAAAAAGAAGUUUAUGCCAACACUGUUGAGACUAAUGAGGAUUAGUCACAGAACUCUUCCUAUCCACUGACGGGUGGGCAGUCUUCAGAAUUAUAAUGGAAUGAAGGUGGUGGUGAGACCAGAGAAUGAGCUAGUGAUAUGGUGAUAACUACUUAUGCUUUGUGUUAUGAUAGCCAAAGUUACUUAAAGCCAAAUACUGAGACAGUUAUAAUAAAGUGUUUCCAUUCUUCUUCGUUAUUCUGAGU
Molecule: long non-coding RNA, 1069 nt
Filed under: Ursus maritimus (polar bear)
Lineage: Eukaryota; Metazoa; Chordata; Mammalia; Carnivora; Ursidae
Description: lncRNA (ENSUMAG00000000690.1)
Source: RNAcentral